This 515-nucleotide ribosomal RNA is filed under the name fungal sp. E15022A. RNAcentral's name for it is "eukaryotic LSU rRNA". The stretch from base 159 to 312 matches the Rfam family "5.8S ribosomal RNA". The record is from RNAcentral. Lineage: Eukaryota; Fungi.
AGGGAUCAUUACCGAGUGCCGGGCCACAUGGCCCGCGACCUCCAACCCUUUGUUUGAACCGACCUGUUGCCUCGGGGGGCGGCCUCGCCCGUUCCCCGGUGGCCACCUCAAAACUCUUGUCAUGACCGACGUCUGAGUCCUCGAGUAAUCGAAACAAAAACUUUCAACAACGGAUCUCUUGGUUCUGGCAUCGAUGAAGAACGCAGCGAAAUGCGAUAAGUAAUGUGAAUUGCAGAAUUCAGUGAAUCAUCGAAUCUUUGAACGCACAUUGCGCCCCGUGGUAUUCCGCGGGGCAUGCCUGUUCGAGCGUCAUUACACCCCUCCAGCCUCGCUGGGUCUUGGGCACCGCGGCCUCCCGCGCGCCUCCAUGUCGCCCGGCCGCGCCGGCCGUCUCCCAGCGUUGUGCAUCACAGUCCGCUCCGGAGCUCGGUCGACGCGUCGCCGUCGCACCCAUCCAUCUUUCAGGUUGACCUCGGAUCAGGUAGGGAUACCCGCUGAACUUAAGCAUAUCAAUA